This 1161-nucleotide long non-coding RNA is filed under the name Oryza sativa (Asian cultivated rice). RNAcentral's name for it is "long non-coding RNA (OSAT_LNC001317)". Lineage: Eukaryota; Viridiplantae; Streptophyta; Magnoliopsida; Poales; Poaceae. The record is from RNAcentral.
CGGUUUGUACCUUGAAUGACACUGAUAACCCAACCGAAAUUUAUUCUGAUUUCAUAUGAAAGAGUUGUACAAUAUGGUUGAAAUGAUAAAUACGGUUUGUACCUUGAGUGACACUGAUAACCCAACCGAAAUUUAUUCUGAUUUCAUAUGAAAGAGUUGUACAAUAUGGUUGGAAUGAUAAAUACGGUUUGUACCUUGAAUGACACUGAUAACCCAACCGAAAUUUAUUCUUGCCGUAAACAUGUGACAUCAGUGCUGCUUUCGAAGUUUUAAAUUCUAAUUAAUUUAGGCCCUAUUUGGCAUAGCUCUGAAUCAAAGAUUUCUAGAGCUGGAUAUUCCUAACUUCAUAAAUCCAUGAUUGUGAAUAUGUUGAUAAUAUAUGGAUGAAUCAUUUUAUUCCUAUUUUAGAUGGAAUAUAAAGUUUUUAAUAUAAUGUAAUACACAAACUCUAAAUCCCGUGAGUGUUUGCAAUAUGGGGCUGUGCCAAACAUAGCCUCAAAUAAUUGAGAGUAGGUCUGAAGUAUUUCUGUCGACGGGAUGUACCCGACAACGGUAUUUUAGUAGUAUAGGGGAUGUUGGUAACAGGGCAUAAGCAAGAUUGUGGUAAAGAGACGGGACAUAUAGAUGUUGGUAAGAGGGUAUAAGCGAUAUUUUGUAAAGAGACGGGAAGACAGCUAUUUUAUCUAUGCUAGUUUAGGCCCACGAGGUGGGUAAUAGGCAUAAUCCAGUUUAUAUAAAUUGCUUUGAGAUGUAUCAUACCGAUUACAAAGGAGGAGCAAGCUAGCUAUCUAGCCCACCAACUAGUAUUUGCCGAGAACUAAUUCAACGACUUGAAAUCGACGGCUAGCUAAUGACUACCUUCCAGCUAUGGUCUUUGCUAUGGCUUGUGAUUUGAUAUUUUCCCUUCCUAGGUGCUAUUUAUUUACUAUAUGAGUAGGUGACUUCUUGUCCAAGUAUAACUCUAGGGGUUAAUGUGAGAUACGAGCAAAUAAGAUCUUGCUUUUCUCGGAUCUGAUAUAAAAGGUAUACCUAAUACGUAUAAUACAGAUAAUUUUAUUUUGAGAAAACAUUAUACUAGUAAAAAACAGUUUUUCCAUACGGCCAAAAUGGUAUUUUUUUUUUCAUGUGGGUGGCGCACCCACACGCGAAAAUCGAUUUUCG